AGAGUUUGAUCCUGGCUCAGAUUGAACGCUGGCGGCAGGCCUAACACAUGCAAGUCGAACGGUAGCACAGAGGAGCUUGCUCCUUGGGUGACGAGUGGCGGACGGGUGAGUAAUGUCUGGGAAACUGCCUGAUGGAGGGGGAUAACUACUGGAAACGGUAGCUAAUACCGCAUAACGUCGCAAGACCAAAGUGGGGGACCUUCGGGCCUCAUGCCAUCAGAUGUGCCCAGAUGGGAUUAGCUAGUAGGUGGGGUAAUGGCUCACCUAGGCGACGAUCCCUAGCUGGUCUGAGAGGAUGACCAGCCACACUGGAACUGAGACACGGUCCAGACUCCUACGGGAGGCAGCAGUGGGGAAUAUUGCACAAUGGGCGCAAGCCUGAUGCAGCCAUGCCGCGUGUAUGAAGAAGGCCUUCGGGUUGUAAAGUACUUUCAGCGAGGAGGAAGGCAUUAAGGUUAAUAACCUUAGUGAUUGACGUUACUCGCAGAAGAAGCACCGGCUAACUCCGUGCCAGCAGCCGCGGUAA
Molecule: ribosomal RNA, 526 nt
Filed under: uncultured bacterium
Lineage: Bacteria
Description: bacterial SSU rRNA
Rfam family: Bacterial small subunit ribosomal RNA
Source: RNAcentral